AAUUUCAUUUCACACCAACAAUUUCUGUCUUUUCCCAAAACGUUUUUUUUUUUUCGCAUUUCUAGAUCAUCAAUCGGGCGCUUCAUCCAAUUCCAGCAUCCGCCAUGGAUUCUCUUUUCGAGAUUGAUUGCUCGUUCAUGGUGAUUUUGUGAUCUCUGGAGGGCGGUGGCUCCUCUUGAUUUUACGCGAUUAUUGCUUCGAAGAUCCGUACUUGUUCUUCCGACAGUUUCUUCUAUGGCAUCUUGAACGAAGGCCACCGACAUCAAUACAUCAAAGUACUCUGGGCCCAGCAUUGGAGACCGCUGAAUCUACGGGGAAGAGUUCUUCGACAAAGAAAAGGCCUGGCGGAGAUCGAGAGGCUGUGAGCAAGUAUCAAGAGAAAAAGAAAGUCCACGCAGCUUCACUGGAGAAGGAGGUUCCAGCCGCUGAUGAGGAGGCUUCAGGGCCAAGCUGCGGUGGAGAGCGAGAUUGCGAGCCCCAAGUGUUUGCUUGUGGGUUUGAAAAGGAAGAUUGAGGAGAAAUUGGGUCUUUCUUUCCCUUAACAGACGUCAGUGAAAGGCGCUCAGGAUCUAGAUUCAUGCGUUUUCCAUUGCCUGCCAUGAUAAAAGUUACUGUGUCCAUCCAGCGACGCAAUCCAAGAAUGCUGGAGGCAAUGGUGGAAAAAUGCCAUCCAGGAGGAGUUCAAAUUCUGUUUCCGAGGACUAAUGGGCUGUGGAAAUGUAGCUACAAGACUUGCACAUUGCUCAUCUAAUACCACUCACCUUGAAGAGCAAAACCCGGCGAGCUCAGUCAAGGAAAGCCAUUGGGAGGAUGAGUAUGCAUACAAUAGCGACGAAGGGCACUUCGGCAUCUGGCCAUCAGAUUUUUGAAUGUGUAGAGAGAGUCAUUCUUGGCUGAAGCUGACUUAUUGGAAGCAGCCAUCGAUGCAACUAAAUCGGUAAAAAAAAAUGAUGUGGGUCUUGCAUCUUGAGUCUCCUUAUCCACUCAAUUUGUCUAGUUCGCUUGAUUCUUUCACUAUUUCUACUUACUCUAUCUCAGUCCUCAUAUCUCAUUCCAAAACUAUCCAUCAAUUUAGCCUUCCAAAUCUUUCAACCAGUCAUACUUGAGAAGGUCAAGUCUUCUUCAAUCUCUAUGAAAUUAAUGUGAGAUAGAAUCGUGUAUUUUUUUUUUAUGUACAUCUAUACGAUUUAAUAGGUCAAAUCUAAUAGAUUGUUUUUUCGGUUGUUGUAAAAUUCUUUUUUCCAAUCAACCAUAUCAUUUGAAUUAUCUUGAUUAUUAGAGUUUUUA
Zingiber officinale is the source of this 1287-nucleotide long non-coding RNA. RefSeq lists it as uncharacterized. NCBI's taxonomy places the organism in Eukaryota, Viridiplantae, Streptophyta, Magnoliopsida, Zingiberales, Zingiberaceae. The transcript is spliced from 3 exons. The record is from RefSeq and is a predicted model, not a curated record.